RNAcentral lists this ribosomal RNA (292 nucleotides) under uncultured bacterium. Its description in RNAcentral is "partial 16S ribosomal RNA". It matches the Rfam family "Bacterial small subunit ribosomal RNA", at positions 505 to 796 of the family's 1533-position model. The record is from RNAcentral.
GUGUCAGCCGCCGCGGUAAUACGUAGGGUGCGAGCGUUAAUCGGAAUUACUGGGCGUAAAGCGUGCGCAGGCGGUUUUGUAAGUCAGAUGUGAAAGCCCCGGGCUCAACCUGGGAACUGCGUUUGAAACUACAAGGCUAGAGUGUAGCAGAGGGGGGUAGAAUUCCACGUGUAGCAGUGAAAUGCGUAGAGAUGUGGAGGAAUACCGAUGGCGAAGGCAGCCCCCUGGGUUAACACUGACGCUCAUGUACGAAAGCGUGGGGAGCAAACAGGAUUAGAAACCCCCGUAGUCC